GGUGAGAGACUUAGAAUCAUUCUAGGAUUUCUAGGUGAGAAAAAAUCAAAGAGAAGAGAGUCUUAUCUAAUUUUUCUUCACUAUCUAGCAUCCUCCUUUGAUCUAUCUUUAACAUCGAAAAGAUCUGAGAUGAUCGACGAAGGAGAUCAAAUCAGACUCGUCAUAAGAAGCUGACUGUGCGAGCUAGCACUCUCGUGGAGGGCUGAUCGGUCCGAGAGCUUCGUGUAGAUCAUUCAUAGAGGUUGGAUGCUUAUGCAGCUAUG
This 263-nucleotide long non-coding RNA is filed under the name Elaeis guineensis (African oil palm). RNAcentral's name for it is "long non-coding RNA (EGUI_LNC066260)". The record is from RNAcentral. Lineage: Eukaryota; Viridiplantae; Streptophyta; Magnoliopsida; Arecales; Arecaceae.